Austrofundulus limnaeus is the source of this 3921-nucleotide long non-coding RNA. RefSeq lists it as uncharacterized. The record is from RefSeq and is a predicted model, not a curated record. The transcript is spliced from 2 exons. Lineage: Eukaryota; Metazoa; Chordata; Actinopteri; Cyprinodontiformes; Rivulidae.
UGUCUCGGCAAGAGCUGAAUGUCAACUAGUCAAAGAUGGAGUCCGGAGCUGGAAGGCCGUGCGGGUGCCAGUGACCGGAACACCGCUUCAUGGAACCGUUCCGCCUCUCAAAAAACUGUCAGCGGCUCGCGCGAACGGAUCCUGCACACUGAGGGACGACGGACCGAACAGGAGGGCUUUUAUUUCUCAAAUCAGUUCGCCAACCUGCUUGUGCUUGUGGAGCUGGAGGGUAUGGACCGGCCCUAUCUUUCAGCGGAGCCUUCAUAUCCGCGCGGGGYGGACACAGAAAACCACCGGUGGACAGACGUGGGUGGCCGUGGAUGUGACGGGCUGCGUGGAGCUUCCACAAGCCCUGAGCUGUAUAUGUCCAUUGUGUUGUGUGUGUGUGUGUGUGUGUGUGUGUGUGUGUGUGUGUGUGUGUGCGCGCGCGCGCGCGCGUGAAAGCAAACGCGUACACAUUUGUGAGGGAUGAAAUAUAAGCGUGCGCGUUUCUGACAAAUUUACUGACGGGUAGGUGCUGUGCAAGGAACCUAUUCCCUUUAGAAAAAGAGCACCAGAGGAGUGUGUUUUUCCUUUUCUUUUUUUAAAUUUAUUUAUUUAUUUAUUUAUUUAUUUAUUUGUUUAUUUAUUUAUUUGUACUGUAACAUGUGUGCCAUUUUUUCAACAUUUAAUUUGUUCAUUCUUUUUUCUGGGUUAAAGUAGGCUACUAAUUUCUCCAGAAAUCUUUUAAAAAAAUUACAUUAUAGAAAGAGCAGUGAACCUGAAGAAAUCACCAUUUGUCUAAAUACUGUCAAAUUUAUUUCAUCCACAUUUUUUGGCUUUUGUAUUUAUCGUCAUCUUUUAUUUAUUGGAGUGCUUAUUGAUAAAAUCAAAUCCAACUAAAUAGCUACUGUACAAAUAAAAAAAAAUACUGCACAAAUCAAAAAUAAAUUCUGCACAAAUCAAAAAUAAAUACUGCACAUAGUAUUAAUAGAAAACUGUAACAGUUUAAUGCAUUGACUGGUGCUUAUUUUUUUCUUUCUUUCUAUAUGAAAACACCUUAAUAAAAACUCAUUUUACAGAAAGAGAAGUGAUCCUAAAUCAUUGUUUUACUAAAUACUACAAAAUUCAUUUUUAUACUUUCAGUAUAUAGAAAACAAAUUAAUGAUAACCAGCAAAUCCUCAUACAUUUCCAAAGGAUGUAAUUAUAGUGGUUUUAUGUGGCCUGAAAAAAGAUUUAAAAAAUUAGAAUAAAACCAGUAAGUUUUAUUUAGGGUUUUCAAGGAAAAAAAAAAAAACAACAACAAAAAAUACUCUGAGCUCAGUAUUUUGUCUAUAGUUGCACAUAUGGUUUACCUUGCUGUGAAUGUGGCUUUAUUCAAGUUAGAAUAGUCAAAAAUAUAAGGAACAAAGUGUAAUCUGUUGGAGACAGGCUACACUGUCUUAAUGGUUAAUUAAACAGGUUCAAUGUAAAGUGACACUGAGAGGAAAAUUCAGACUGAACAGCCUUUGGUGUAUUGCCUGUUGUGGUUUGGAUGACAUGGACUAUUUUUGUUUGUAUGAUUUUGUUCUGGUCUUUAAAAUCAUCUUAUGAUGAACCUGGAGAGAAAAAUAAGCUCCUAGUUCAUUGGAAAUAACAUUACCCAACUCUCUGCCCUUCCACACAUUCCCCACCCCUUGGUUUCCUGGAGUUUCACAUUGCCACUUUGGCUAAAAAGACAAGAAUAGCAGCUGUUAAAUAAAAGUUUCUGGUGUUGUAUCACGGAAGGUGCUCUUUGCCCUAUAUAUGUUUUCUCCACCCUCACUUCCUCCCAGCAGAACCGUGUUCACUGCUUGUUUUCAGAGACGAUGCAGUCCACUGAGCUGUUUGUCCUUUUUUAUCAGAGUUCACUAUGUUUCCAUCGGGCCUGUACACCACACCACAACCACACUUGAGGCUUUUUAAGUCUGUUUUUAGCUGUUCAUGGCUGUUGCUCUGUUUGCAACAUGUUGGUGAUGGAUAGUUACGUUAAGCUCACGUGGAGGCUGCAGCCUCUGCCACUGACUCUGUUUGGUGAGGAUGGAAGUGACAGCUGAAUGCUCUGUUUCUCAAUAGACUUGGAUGUGUUGAAAAAUAAUGUGUUCUAAAGCUCUUUUUCUGUUGUACUACUGUGAAAUCAGAUGAGCAGUGCAAUAUUAAAAGGGCAUUGGCUUGCACACAUUACCACCAUGCUACCCCCCUUUCUCCAGUUCCCAUCCUCUUUCUCAAUUACUGUAUUCACAAAUAUUCUUCCAACAUAAGAUAGUGUAGAAUUUAGAUCUGUGUUGGACCCAAAGCUCAGACCGCCAAUGGAAAUUGGUUGUGGAACGUGCUGGUUGUGUUUGUGAGUGAAGCAACUUGCAGAGGUCAGCUGCUUUGACAAUGUUGCACUACUGUACCAUCUACUAAAGCAGUGCAAUAAUAUUGUCAUAGCAUUCGGCCUUUGGCCUGCGCUACAGCAGCUGGAGGGCAGAUGAUGGUGAAACAGUGAAAAACAGCAGAUUCUUUUUUUAACUGUAAGAUGCCUUCAACCCGUAGAUGCCAAUCACAUGAUGCUCAGCAAAUCUUUAUAAAAAGAUGCUACUUAGACAAGUUGGUUUCAAAUGUCUAAAAAAAAUCAUGUUUURGUUAUUUAUGUGUACGUAUGAGUGUUUUUUGUUUUUAAUUUUUUAUUACAUGUUUUAUGAUGCAACCAACAUUUUUCACCCACAAAACAUUUUUAUUUUUAUGGUAGAUUUGUAAAAUUUAACAGAUAAAUUGUAAAAUAGCCACAGUUUUGUCCUGAAUAUUUUUAUAUAUAUAAUAUUAAAAAAUAUUCAGGACAAAACUGUGGCUAUUUUACAAUUUGUCUGUUAAAUUUUACAAAACAUGACACAUUAAAAACUGCUUUAGUUUAGCAGAACAUUUGAUCUUUUUUUUAAAGUAGGUUACUUAAAAAUAUGCCUGUAACUUGUAUAUAAAUAAAAAUCCCUGCAUAUGUAUAGUGUUGUUAAUGCGUGAGUUUCUAUAGAAACACAUAUCUGCAUACACAUACACACUCAUCCUGACAAAAACUUAUCAUUUUUAUCUAACGUGAUGGAUUGACUAUUAUGGCUUUAUUAUUUUGACUGGUAUUUGCAGUUUAAUAAGUUUAAUAGAAGUUAAAAUUUUACAGAACUCGUCAGUCUAUUGAAAACUGAAAAUUUGUAUUUUUUCUUAGUUUUAAAAUAAGUGUAAAGGCAUUCAAAAGGAAACCAAUUUUAAUCUUAAACUGGGUUUUUAGUGUGUCAUGCUGAACUGUAACAGUUCAGUGAAGCUUAACAAGUAAAAAAUUAGCCUGGAAUCAGCAAGUCAGUGACAUGGUAGCAUGUCAUUUGUUUUGGAAACUGUUAGAACCAGUGGAGGUUACAAAGUUCAGAGGUUCCUCAGACAGGAAGAAGAGUGUGGCUUUUUUCUUCAUCUGCACCAUUAUCAUGCUGUAUUUUACCCUGUAGGAUAUGGGCUACCUGGACCACACCUCCUAAAAAAGAACAUCAUGUUCACAGAACUGUACAGGUUGUCUAGGUUUGCUCUGCAGAUCAUGUAUCCGAUUAAAAAACAAGUUAUUGAGUCAAUCUACCAAACUUUUCUCACAUGUGUUGCUACAUGCUGACCCAAAAUAUGAAAUAAUUUUUAGUCAAAACUGCAUCAAAUGUAAUUGUAAGUCUUCUUUGUCCUCUUUCAGUUAUCAGGAUUCAACUUGUGACUGAAUUAAAAAUGAUAACCGUGGCAUCAGACAUGAAAUGAAAACACAGUUUAACCACAACAAUUAUAUUUUUGCAUGACGAGGCAGGGAAGAGUGAUGCUGACAGACGCUGACAGUGCUCCGGUAACAAGCACCACAAACUUUAGAGUUCCUACCAAGCCGUCUUCCUCCAUACACCUCCUGUUUUCAGGGGACUGGG